Molecule: ribosomal RNA, 497 nt
Filed under: uncultured bacterium
Lineage: Bacteria
Description: partial 16S ribosomal RNA
Rfam family: Bacterial small subunit ribosomal RNA
Source: RNAcentral
GAUGAACGCUGGCGGCGUGCCUAAUACAUGCAAGUCGAGCGAACAGACGAGGAGCUUGCUCCUCUGACGUUAGCGGCGGACGGGUGAGUAACACGUGGAUAACCUACCUAUAAGACUGGGAUAACUUCGGGAAACCGGAGCUAAUACCGGAUAAUAUAUUGAACCGCAUGGUUCAAUAGUGAAAGACGGUUUUGCUGUCACUUAUAGAUGGAUCCGCGCCGCAUUAGCUAGUUGGUAAGGUAACGGCUUACCAAGGCGACGAUGCGUAGCCGACCUGAGAGGGUGAUCGGCCACACUGGAAGUGAGACACGGUCCAGACUCCUACGGGAGGCAGCAGUAGGGAAUCUUCCGAAAUGGGCGAAAGCCUGACGGAGCAACGCCGCGUGAGUGAUGAAGGUCUUCGGAUCGUAAGACUCUGUUAUUAGGGAAGAACAAUUGUGUAAGUAACUAUGCACGUCUUGACGGUACCUAAUCAGAAAGCCACGGCUAACUACGUG